This 3399-nucleotide long non-coding RNA is filed under the name Heterocephalus glaber (naked mole-rat). RNAcentral describes it as "lncRNA (ENSHGLG00000040230.1)". Lineage: Eukaryota; Metazoa; Chordata; Mammalia; Rodentia; Bathyergidae. The record is from RNAcentral.
GCCGGCCUGGCUUGGCUGGCAUCCCUGUGAGGCACCGUGCAUGUCCACCACCGGGUGGCCAGGCAGGUGGGCACAAGGCCUCUAGUCCAGAAGAAUCAGGUGAGAGGGUCUCGAUGGCACCCUCCAGCCUCCACGUUCCUGGUUUUAACACUGAGUUAGGGAGGACUCAAGGACCCUUGGGGAAGUGCACUCCCGGGAGGCCUCUGCAGCAGCAGCAGGGCAUCCGUGGUUUGGGGAAACACGCGCUGAGAGGUGUAGAAGGUGCGUGGCUAGGGGUGAACUCCCGUCCAGAGGCCGUGGUGUACGCGGCUUCCUCUCCGAGGGUCCUGGGGGGAGGUGUGGAACCAGAGAAAGCUAAAGACGCAGAGGCCAAAGCAAUGGCAGCGCUGCAGGAGGGGAUCUGGCGAAGGCUGUCGGACGGACGUUCCUCCUGCUGUCCCGGCAAACCUCUGCAAGUGCAGGCUUCCACGGCGUGGUUGUUCACGGCUGUUCGAUUGGCGAAGUCAGUUUGAGAUGGCGUGCAGAGAAACAGCGGGAAAUCCGCACUUACCCUCCGGCCCUGGACCCAGCCAGAGCUCCCGCACCCCGGACUUGGACUUGGCGGGCUGAUCAUCGCGGCGUCUUUUGUUCUGCCAAGGGUCUUGGCGAUGGGAGAGGCGACUCGGCAGAGGGGACUCAGCAAGAGCUUGCCGGAGUACUCUGACGGCCUUCGCGUGCAGUCAUCCGCCCCAGGACCGAGGCAGCUGACACCACGAGAUCCUCAGGAGCAUCACCUCUGCUCUGCGCUUUACCCAGACUUGCUCGGCUGGGAUUGUACACCCUGUGGCGCUUGCAGACUGGUGUGGCUCACUUGACCACAUGCAUUUCCACUCCCUCUAUCAUGCACAUGUGCAUAUGUGUGUGUGUACACGUGUGUGCCUACCUCAUGGCUCAGCCCUUUUUAUCACUGAGUAAUCUUCCAUUGUGUGGCCGUACCACAUUUUAUUUAUCCACUCACCCGCAGAAGGACACUUGGUUGCUUCAGUUUGGGUGAUUGUUGUGAAGGUGCUACAAACGCUUGCAGCAGGGUCUGGUGUGGAUGCAGCUGCAACUCAGUCAGGUGAACGCCCAGGCGUGUGAUCGCUGGAAGAGAGUGAGGCUGCAGGGCGGUGAGAAGCUGCUGGGCUGACGCGCAGUGCGCUGCGUGGCUCUGUGCGGCUCAUCCGUGCUCUACUCUGUGUGCCCUGACGGCCUGUGGCAGUGAACAAGUCUCCCCGUGCCUAUUUGCUGUCUGGGAUUCUCAUUUGGUAAGGGGUCUGUUCAGAUCUUUUGCUCGUUUCUAAAAUCAGGUGUUUUCAUUUUCUUUUUGUCAAGUUUUCCGAGUUCUUUGUGUACCUGGAUAAGUCCUUUAUCAGAUAUAUUUUAGGGUUAUUUCCUCUCAGUCUGUAGCUUGCUUUCCUAUUCUUAAGAUCUUAUUAUUCUUUAUGUCUAGUUGUUCGAUCUAUUGUUAAUAUCAGGUAUUAAAAUCUCCAACUAUGAUCAUGCAAUUGUCUGUUUACCCCUUUAAUUCUGUCAAGAUUUACUUUACCUACUUUGGAAUGCCGUUAUCAGGGAAUACGCAUUUAUGAUCGUGUGUGCUCCUCAGUAGUUGCUUGCUGUCUAGUGAAGGGUCUCCUGGUUAUUUUAAUCCCCGGUCCUGAAGUCCACCGAGGUCAACACAGCAGGACAUGAGCCCCUGGGCUGAGUGCUGGUGUGACACAGCUUCUGUUGCCCCGUUUCCAGCCUCCCUGGGUCUUCACUCUUAAAGCUCAACCCUUGCAGACAGCACACAGUUGAACCUUGCUUCUGAAAUCUGGUGGUAACGUUUGCCUUCUAAGGAAAGGGUUUUUGAUAUGCUCAUAUUUAAUAUCCUCAUUGUCAUGAUUGGAGUUAGGACUCACUCUGUUCUUUUCUACCUCCUUUUGAAAUAUUUGAAUACAUUAAAGAAUUCGAUCUUAAAUCAACUAUUAGCUCUCUAUCUACUGGUAUGAUCAAAAAUAUACAGUGAAUGUUCACACUUAAAAAUUAUUGUAGUAAAAGACCACUGCCAUGAAUCCCCCUCAGAACCCCGCCUCUUGCUUGGAGCACAUUCAUCCCAUUGUCCUUGCCACUUUCUGCAGCAGCUCCAGUGUGAGAGUCCACUGUGUAAUGGUUAGCACUCUGGACUCUGCAGCAGCUCUGGAGUCCUCUGCUGAGUGUCUUUAUGAGACGUGAUCAAAAACAUGGUGAAUAGGGCUGCCAAGUGCCACCCAACAGAAAUGCAGUGUGUAUAAACAUGCUGCUGUGCUCGUCCACCUUGUUCACCAGAUCUGGCACUGUGUGACUUCUGGUUCUUCCCAAAGUCAAAAUGACCAUGAAAGGGAAAUGUUUUGAAUCCACUCAGGAGACGGAACCAGCCAGGGCAGCACAGCUAAAGACCCUCAGGAGAGAGGGCUCCAGAGCGGCUGCAGGACGCGGCCAGGAUGGCGGGAUAAAUGUGGUCGAAAUGAAGGGAGAAUUUUGAGGGGGAUUCAUGGCAAUGUGUCUUUUACUAUAAUAUAUUUUGAAGUUAUACAUUUACCAAAUUUUUUGACAUAUUGAUAUAACUGAAUCUUAAUCUUUUUUAAACAGUUGCUUGAGGGAUUUAAGUACACUAAAAUUUCAUGUUCUGCUUAGGGUUGAUAUUGUAGCACUCAGUGUAAAAUGUAGAAAGAAGCCUUGCGACAGUUGAUAACCUCUAACCUCCUCCUGCUCCUGGCUCUUGUACUUUGAUUGUCACAGAUAUUGCCUACACAGUACAAUCACAUGUCUUUCAAAUACAUUAAGGGAAAUCAUAAUACAUCUCCUUGAAUAUUAUCUCAAGUGCUCUCCACUGUAUCAGGGAGGUUUGAGGUUCCAUCUGAUAUAUUUUCCUUUCAACCUAGAGAGAUUCACUUGAGGUCUCCUCUAGGACCGGACUCACAUUGAAAGUGGCUGUUGGGACCUUGCUGCUGGGGGACCCUCUCACUGGACAGACAGGAGCUGGCUCCUGGGACUACUGCCGCUCCACACCCUCACCCUCCUCAGUCCUGGUGAGAAGUCUGCAGUCCCCUGGAUAGCUGUCCUCAGGGCAUAGUGUAGGGGACCAUGCGACGACACAAGGUCAAGAUGGCCUCUUAGCCAUGUAGAGAGUGACUCGACUGCACCCAGGCGGCCCCAGCCUCUGACUUCGAGGAAGGGGACCCAGUCACUGAGCCACCCAGCCUGGACCCUCGGCUGUGUGCCGGGUGGAGGGCACAGCGAGAUCUGCUCUCUGCAACGUCACUUCCUCCAGAGUCUGUCCUGCUCGGGGUUGGUCUUCAAGCUCCUCAGAAGAUGAUUUUUUAAAAAUGUCUUCAGGUUAUCGGUAUUUUCUGCAAGAGC